AUCGAAUGAAGGAUCUUGUAAUCUAGGAAAGCAAAAUACUCAGCAUAAAAAAUAUGUAAAUUUUUAUGUAAAAGAAAUGAAACAAAAGAAAAGAGAGAAGAAAUAGGGAGAAGGGAGAAAAUUUCUAAUUGGAGUUGAAGAGGAAACAAAAUUCAUGUCUAAUUGGGAAAAAUUAGACUAAAUACCCAGGGUUUGGGAACCUUAGGGCCUACAUUGUAACGCCCCGUACCCGAGGCCGUUGCCGGAGUCGGACACGAGGGGUUCACAGACUAAAUUCGCUUACUAUCGC
This 289-nucleotide long non-coding RNA is filed under the name Gossypium barbadense (sea-island cotton). RNAcentral describes it as "long non-coding RNA (GBAR_LNC002149)". Lineage: Eukaryota; Viridiplantae; Streptophyta; Magnoliopsida; Malvales; Malvaceae. The record is from RNAcentral.